Non-coding RNA from Ictidomys tridecemlineatus (thirteen-lined ground squirrel), 454 nucleotides. Lineage: Eukaryota; Metazoa; Chordata; Mammalia; Rodentia; Sciuridae. The record is from RefSeq and is a predicted model, not a curated record.
CCACCUCCGGGUCGGGCUCCCGCUCGGUAGCUUCCAGGCGGUCUCCUGUACUCAGGCGAGCUUGGCCAGCAGCUCCUGGCCCGCUUGGGAAGCCGCGCGGAAUACCUGUUCACCCCCAGGAAGCUGCCAUUCCAAGCAUUUCAAGCUGCCAUUCCAAGCUGAGGCCAUACAUUUCCUCUGCCUCAGCCUACCCAUACACCCAAAGGAGAUUUCAAUCUCACAAGGGACAUGCUGUAACACUGAACUACAACCCCAGCCCAAGAAACUUUUUUCGGUAAGUCCAGGGUGUACCCGCUUCUAAAGCCUCCUCAUGAACCUGGUAUGUCCCCUUCCCCAUAGCACCUAAAGCAAAGUUUUGAUUAAUAAAUUGAAAGGAAAAUUUCAUAGGUGAAGUUUCCACAGGAAAUGUUUGUGCAAGAUUUACUUAUAAAUACUUAAUUGGGAAAUACCAUAG